RNAcentral lists this ribosomal RNA (467 nucleotides) under uncultured bacterium. RNAcentral describes it as "partial 16S ribosomal RNA". It matches the Rfam family "Bacterial small subunit ribosomal RNA", at positions 28 to 506 of the family's 1533-position model. The record is from RNAcentral.
GACGAACGCUGGCGGCGUGCUUAACACAUGCAAGUCGAACGGAAAGGCCCUGCUUUUGUGGGGUGCUCGAGUGGCGAACGAGUGAGUAACACGUGAGUAACCUGCCCUUGACUUUGGGAUAACUUCAGGAAACUGGGGCUAAUACCGGAUAGGAGCUCCUGCUGCAUGGUGGGGGUUGGAAAGUUUCGGCGGUUGGGGAUGGACUCGCGGCUUAUCAGCUUGUUGGUGGGGUAGUGGCUUACCAAGGCUUUGACGGGUAGCCGGCCUGAGAGGGUGACCGGCCACAUUGGGACUGAGAUACGGCCCAGACUCCUACGGGAGGCAGCAGUGGGGAAUAUUGCACAAUGGGCGGAAGCCUGAUGCAGCAACGCCGCGUGCGGGAUGACGGCCUUCGGGUUGUAAACCGCUUUCGCGUGUGACGAAGCGUGAGUGAAGGUAAUGGGUAAAGAAGCACCGGCUAACUACGU